This 424-nucleotide ribosomal RNA is filed under the name uncultured bacterium. RNAcentral describes it as "bacterial SSU rRNA". It matches the Rfam family "Bacterial small subunit ribosomal RNA", at positions 355 to 796 of the family's 1533-position model. The record is from RNAcentral.
UGGGGAAUCUUGCACAAUGGAGGCAACUCUGAUGCAGCGACGCCGCGUGAGCGAUGAAGCCCCUCGGGGUGUAAAGCUCUUUCGACGGGAAAGAUUAUGACGGUACCCGAAGAAGAAGCUGCGGCUAACUACGUGCCAGCAGCCGCGGUAAUACGUAGGCAGCGAGCGUUGUUCGGAAUUACUGGGCGUAAAGAGUGCGUAGGCGGUGUCCUAAGUCUGGUGUGAAAUCUCCCGGCUCAACUGGGAGGGUGCGCCGGAAACUAGGAUGCUAGAGGGUGGGAGAGGUAAGCGGAAUUCCUGGUGUAGCGGUGAAAUGCGUAGAUAUCAGGAGGAACACCUGUGGUGUAGACAGCUUACUGGACCACUUCUGACGCUGAGGCACGAAAGCGUGGGUAGCAAACAGGAUUAGAUACCCCUGUAGUCC